CCUACGGGUGGCAGCAGUGAGGAAUAUUGGUCAAUGGACGAGAGUCUGAACCAGCCAAGUAGCGUGAAGGAUGACUGCCCUAUGGGUUGUAAACUUCUUUUAUAUGGGAAUAAAAUGUUCCACGUGUGGGAUUUUGUAUGUACCAUAUGAAUAAGGAUCGGCUAACUCCGUGCCAGCAGCCGCGGUAAUACGGAGGAUCCGAGCGUUAUCCGGAUUUAUUGGGUUUAAAGGGAGCGUAGGUGGAUUGUUAAGUCAGUUGUGAAAGUUUGCGGCUCAACCGUAAAAUUGCAGUUGAAACUGGCAGUCUUGAGUACAGUAGAGGUGAGCGGAAUGCGUGGUGUAGCGGUGAAAUGCUUAGAUAUCACGAAGAACUCCGAUUGCGAAGGCAGUUCACUGGACUGCAACUGACACUGAGGCUCGAAAGUGUGGGUAUCAAACAGGAUUAGAUACCCUAGUAGUC
This 460-nucleotide ribosomal RNA is filed under the name uncultured bacterium. Its description in RNAcentral is "partial 16S ribosomal RNA". It matches the Rfam family "Bacterial small subunit ribosomal RNA", at positions 338 to 795 of the family's 1533-position model. The record is from RNAcentral.